ACUUUGGAAUAAAGAGAAUGAUG
This 23-nucleotide non-coding RNA is filed under the name Cricetulus griseus (Chinese hamster). Lineage: Eukaryota; Metazoa; Chordata; Mammalia; Rodentia; Cricetidae. The record is from RNAcentral.